RNAcentral lists this unclassified non-coding RNA (253 nucleotides) under uncultured Gemmatimonadota bacterium. Its description in RNAcentral is "uncultured Gemmatimonadetes bacterium contains 16S-23S intergenic spacer region". It matches the Rfam family "Bacterial small subunit ribosomal RNA", at positions 524 to 776 of the family's 1533-position model. Lineage: Bacteria; Pseudomonadati; Gemmatimonadota. The record is from RNAcentral.
GACGGAGGGCGCAAGCGUUGUUCGGAAUUACUGGGCGUAAAGCGCGGGCAGGCGGCCUGUUAAGUCUGCUGUGAAAUCCCGGGGCUCAACCCCGGACAUGCAGCGGAUACUGGCAGACUGGAGACCGGUAGAGGCUAGUGGAAUUCCUGGUGUAGCGGUGGAAUGCGUAGAUAUCAGGAAGAACACCUGUGGCGAAGGCGGCUAGCUGGGCCGGUUCUGACGCUGAUGCGCGAAAACGUGGGUAGCAAACAGG